Molecule: long non-coding RNA, 111 nt
Organism: Gopherus evgoodei (Goodes thornscrub tortoise)
Lineage: Eukaryota; Metazoa; Chordata; Testudines; Testudinidae
Exons: 3
Source: RefSeq, a predicted model, not a curated record
CCUGUUCCAGUUUGAAUUAAACUUUCUUAAACAUGGGAGACCAGAACUGCACCCAGUAUUCCAGAUGAGGUCUCACAACUGCCUUGUAUAACGGUACUAUCAUCUCCUUAU